UCUGUUAAAAAAAAAUUAUGAACUAGUCAGCGAUUGCCAUCAUAUUUGUCUUAGGCUUCAUUUUCUGUGCUGUCUCAGAGACAUGAAAAAGUCACAUCAAGCGAAGCCAUUGGAGCGCCAUCCCUUGGAAUGGGCGAGUAGUACUCUGUCUCUGCAUUUGCAGUCUGAUAAAAUGUAAAAUGUGCUCACCUUGGGCUGGAUCCGAUCUAUUCUGUAUGAUCCUCUGCCGAUCUGGUCACAUUUCAUGUUGCUUUGUAAAGCCCACAUCUAAGUGUUUUGCACAAAUAUUUUAGGUUUAGGCCUCCCAGAUUCUUGCAAGGUGUGAUCAAAAGGUUGCAUGCACACAACAAUCUCUAGAUUAAUAUACAAAAAAAUACUGUCCAUUUUAACAGCACUUUUUUGUACCUCAUAGGAUGAAAGACAAAAUGCUCCUAAGGAAUAAUCUGAAGCAUGGGGCAGGGCAAUCUACAUCUGUGAGGUUGCCACGUCCUUCUCAGCCAUCUCUGAGUGCAUGAAAGACUCCCACAGAAUUGUUUAUACAUGCACACAGAAUUUAAUUAGAACGUGAUGUUUUCCAAAUAUGCAAAGGGGUCAUGGUGCUGAAAUUCUUUUACCAGAAAAUGUGACAUGCUACGAUAUAGACAUGAAGAAGGCAUGGACAUUGUUUACAGGAAAUGCAGCUGCACACACCAGAGAUUUUUAUGGGGAAUAAUAACAGGGGAUAUGAAGGCUAUAACAUAAAUUCUUUCUGGAGUAAUGAAAUUACUACUUCUAGUGAUUACACAUGAUGUAAAACAACCCCUGGGGACAUUGCUUUCAAUGUAAAUAAUACAAAAAACAUUUGCCCUAAUUAUUGUAGAAGCUUGAAAGGAGUCAUCCGAAUGCUUCCAAAACUCAAUGAUUAUUUUGAACGUUAUAUAUCAUGCCAGCAAAUGUGAACAAUAGCUAAAAGUAGCAGACGGCUGUACCAUCAUUCACAUUUCCUUAUAUAUUGGCCCAUUCCUCUAACUUUAAACUGGAGAUAUCACAGUUAAUACUUCAGAUGGUUAGUUUAGAAUGGAAUGAGUUG
Molecule: long non-coding RNA, 1069 nt
Filed under: Pogona vitticeps (central bearded dragon)
Lineage: Eukaryota; Metazoa; Chordata; Lepidosauria; Squamata; Agamidae
Description: lncRNA (ENSPVIG00000001623.1)
Source: RNAcentral